CUACGUGCCAGCAGCCGCGGUAAUACGUAGGUGGCGAGCGUUGUCCGGAAUUAUUGGGCGUAAAGGGAGCGCAGGCGGACAUAUAAGUCCAUCUUAAAAGUGCGGGGCUCAACCCCGUGAGGGGAUGGAAACUGUAUGCCUUGAGUGCAGGAGAGGAAAGCGGAAUUCCCAGUGUAGCGGUGAAAUGCGUAGAUAUUGGGAGGAACACCAGUGGCGAAGGCGGCUUUCUGGACUGUAACUGACGCUGAGGCUCGAAAGCCAGGGGAGCGAAUGGGAUUAGAUACCCCGGUAGUCCUGGCCGUAAACGAUGAAUGCUAGGUGUAGGAGGUAUCGACCCCUCCUGUGCCGGAGUUAACGCAAUAAGCAUUCCGCCUGGGGAGUACGGUCGCAAGACUGAAACUCAAGGGAAUUGACGGGGGCCCGCACAAGCGGUGGAGUAUGUGGUUUAAUUCGACGCAACGCGAAGAACCUUACCAGGGCUUGACAU
Molecule: ribosomal RNA, 487 nt
Filed under: uncultured bacterium
Lineage: Bacteria
Description: bacterial SSU rRNA
Rfam family: Bacterial small subunit ribosomal RNA
Source: RNAcentral